UCUAAAAUGGCAGAAAAUGCACAAGAUUUAAGCUCUUGCCAUGAAGAAUUAUUUCUUCUUUUAGAA
This 66-nucleotide transfer RNA is filed under the name Allogalathea elegans. RNAcentral describes it as "tRNA-Leu". Lineage: Eukaryota; Metazoa; Arthropoda; Malacostraca; Decapoda; Galatheidae. The record is from RNAcentral.